CCAGCCAUGCCGCGUGAGUGAUGAAGGCCUUAGGGUCGUAAAGCUCUUUCGCCUGUGAAGAUAAUGACGGUAGCAGGUAAAGAAACCCCGGCUAACUCCGUGCCAGCAGCCGCGGUAAUACGGGAGGGGGUUAGCGUUGUUCGGAAUUACUGGGCGUAAAGCGCACGUAGGCGGACUGGAAAGUUGGGGGUGAAAUCCCAGGGCUCAACCCUGGAACUGCCUCCAAAACUAUCAGUCUAGAGUUCGAGAGAGGUGAGUGGAAUUCCCGAGUGUAGAGGUGAAAUUCGUAGAUAUUCGGAGGAACACCAGUGGCGAAGGCGGCUCACUGGCUCGAUACUGACGCUGAGGUGCGAAAGUGUGGGGAGCAAACAGGAUUAGAUACCCUGGUAGUCCACACCGUAAACGAUGAAUGCCAGUCGUCGGGUAGCAUGCUAUUCGGUGACACACCUAACGGAUUAA
This 459-nucleotide ribosomal RNA is filed under the name oil-susceptible bacterium OSB32. RNAcentral describes it as "bacterial SSU rRNA". It matches the Rfam family "Bacterial small subunit ribosomal RNA", at positions 388 to 863 of the family's 1533-position model. The record is from RNAcentral.